ACAGUCGGCGCGAAGAUACGCUUGACACAUUUGAAAAUACGUGUCAGAAGAGGUUCAGCCGCAACAGAGGAGCGCGCCCCUCCUGCAGUCGCCCCAGUACACUGGUGGUAGACCGCAGCCAUACAAUGCUACGACAAUGACGUCACAAGUGCCGAGACCCUGCAGCGAAGACUCUUGCAGUCAGCACAGUCAGACUUGUGACCAGAACGUUGCUGAUAAAAUUUAUCUCGCACCUAAGUGACUGAUAGGUUAUAAUACUAAAAAAAUACAAAAGCUGCAAAAAGUAUCUGACAGAGUAAGUGUAAUUUUAUGGUGAAAAAGAAAAAUAUAUCACAAACUUUUAUCUGUUGGAUACCGUUAUAGGUCAAAUAGUCUUAUCAGCAACCAAUGUAACAAGCCCAUAAUAUUGUAAACUGAACAAAAACACAAUAAAUCACUAACGCAGAAA
Molecule: long non-coding RNA, 448 nt
Organism: Melitaea cinxia (Glanville fritillary)
Lineage: Eukaryota; Metazoa; Arthropoda; Insecta; Lepidoptera; Nymphalidae
Exons: 4
Source: RefSeq, a predicted model, not a curated record